RNAcentral lists this ribosomal RNA (35 nucleotides) under Scedosporium boydii. RNAcentral describes it as "partial 28S ribosomal RNA". Lineage: Eukaryota; Fungi; Ascomycota; Sordariomycetes; Microascales; Microascaceae. The record is from RNAcentral.
UUGACCUCGGAUCAGGUAGGGUUACCCGCUGAACU